This 490-nucleotide ribosomal RNA is filed under the name uncultured bacterium. RNAcentral's name for it is "partial 16S ribosomal RNA". It matches the Rfam family "Bacterial small subunit ribosomal RNA", at positions 30 to 507 of the family's 1533-position model. The record is from RNAcentral.
AUUGAACGCUGGCGGCAGGCCUAACACAUGCAAGUCGAACGGUAACAGGAAGAAGCUUGCUUCUUUGCUGACGAGUGGCGGACGGGUGAGUAAUGUCUGGGAAACUGCCUGAUGGAGGGGGAUAACUACUGGAAACGGUAGCUAAUACCGCAUAACGUCGCAAGACCAAAGAGGGGGACCUUCGGGCCUCUUGCCAUCGGAUGUGCCCAGAUGGGAUUAGCUAGUAGGUGGGGUAACGGCUCGCCUAGGCGACGAUCCCUAGCUGGUCUGAGAGGAUGACCAGCCACACUGGAACUGAGACACGGUCCAGACUCCUACGGGAGGCAGCAGUGGGGAAUAUUGCACAAAGGGCGCAAGCCUGAUGCAGCCAUGCCGCGUGUAUGAAGAAGGCCUUCGGGUUGUAAAGUACUUUCAGCGGGGAGGAAGGGAGUAAAGUUAAUACCUUUGCUCAUUGACGUUACCCGCAGAAGAAGCACCGGCUAACUCCGUG